CGCCCGCAGACGCUGAAGGUCUUCGUUCCACUUCUGCUUUGUGGUCUGGGCUGAAUGUGCGAGCGAGAAAGUCUGCGUCGCUGAGAGGGUGGCGAGAAGAGCCAACCACCUACAGGACUCACUGUUUGCCUAAUUAGCUGCGUCUGAUGUGGCUUCUGAGGCCGAGCAUCCCGGCCCUCCCCAUGGAUGACUGGGCCGUGAAUAUCGACACGCUUCGUGGGGGUUCCAGCAGCUGCCAGGGCUCGGCGGUGCGAGGGGCUCCCCGAAAGCCCCCCCCCCCAGAACUCCCUCACGGCCGCUGAGCAUUAAAAACCAGAGAGAGGAGAAAUGUGGGAAGAAAAUGUUGGGGGGGGGUUCUGAGAAAAAGGCGCCAAAGCGUCCACGUGUGACCAAAGCUGAAAGUCCGUCUCUUCAUCAGCACAGAGCAUUCGUGAUGCAAAAAGAAAUAAAUAAAUUCAGGACUAAAGCAGCUUUGCUUGGCAGAACAGUCCUCCCACACAAAAACAUGUUUCACCAUCGCACGGAUUCUGCAGCAGCGAGGGCAGACUUUUCCAAGACUUGGCAUUUAAAGCCGUCCAACAGAGAGAGUCCAGGCCGAGCUGGACUCAUCCGCUCUGCUGAGGGCAGGAUGGAGGCUGCAAAACGCCCCGAAUCCCACAUGUUCACAGUCAGGUUUUCAAUAAGCUGGACCCAAAUGCAGACGGGGAGUAGGGCAGGACAGGGGGGUCAAACAGGACAGCGGGGUCAAACUCAAAUUCACAGGGGGCCAAAGUGAAGCAGUGAAGUACAGUCAGCAUUCACUGAAAAAUGAACUGCAACUGAUUUGUAAUGUUGAACCUUUUCACAUGGAAACAAACUUUAGUUUAGCUUAAACACAGAAUCUGGAAGAACCAAAGCUUGAUCUUACAAACACAUAAGAAAUGAAUUAUUUUCUUAUUUAAAUAAAUAAAUAAAGUAUGCCCCCC
Molecule: long non-coding RNA, 965 nt
Organism: Oryzias latipes (Japanese medaka)
Lineage: Eukaryota; Metazoa; Chordata; Actinopteri; Beloniformes; Adrianichthyidae
Source: RefSeq, a predicted model, not a curated record